UACAGAGGUGGCAAGCGUUGUUCGGAAUUACUGGGCGUAAAGGGCGCGUAGGCGGUCUUGUAAGUCUUGUGUGAAAUCCCUCGGCUCAACUGAGGAACUGCACGGGAUACUGCGAGACUUGAGUUCGGGAGAGGGAAGCGGAAUUCCGGGUGUAGCGGUGAAAUGCGCAGAUAUCAGGAGGAACACCGGUGGCGAAGGCGGGUCUCUGGGCCGAUACUGACGCUGAGGAGCGAAAGCAUGGGGAGCGAACAGG
Molecule: ribosomal RNA, 253 nt
Filed under: uncultured bacterium
Lineage: Bacteria
Description: partial 16S ribosomal RNA
Rfam family: Bacterial small subunit ribosomal RNA
Source: RNAcentral